AACGAACGCUGGCGGCAUGCCUAACACAUGCAAGUCGAACGAGACCUUCGGGUCUAGUGGCGCACGGGUGCGUAACGCGUGGGAAUCUGCCCUUGGGUUCGGAAUAACUUCGGGAAACUGAAGCUAAUACCGGAUGAUGACGUAAGUCCAAAGAUUUAUCGCCCAAGGAUGAGCCCGCGUAGGAUUAGCUAGUUGGUGAGGUAAAGGCUCACCAAGGCGACGAUCCUUAGCUGGUCUGAGAGGAUGAUCAGCCACACUGGGACUGAGACACGGCCCUAGACUCCUACGGGAGGCAGCAGUGGGGAAUAUUGGACAAUGGGCGAAAGCCUGAUCCAGCAAUGCCGCGUGAGUGAUGAAGGCCUUAGGGUUGUAAAGCUCUUUUACCCGGGAUGAUAAUGACAGUACCGGGAGAAUAAGCUCCGGCGUAACUCCGUGCCAGCAGCC
This 444-nucleotide ribosomal RNA is filed under the name uncultured bacterium. Its description in RNAcentral is "bacterial SSU rRNA". It matches the Rfam family "Bacterial small subunit ribosomal RNA", at positions 29 to 516 of the family's 1533-position model. The record is from RNAcentral.